Long non-coding RNA from Cephus cinctus (wheat stem sawfly), 1652 nucleotides. RefSeq lists it as uncharacterized. NCBI's taxonomy places the organism in Eukaryota, Metazoa, Arthropoda, Insecta, Hymenoptera, Cephidae. The transcript has 5 exons. The record is from RefSeq and is a predicted model, not a curated record.
UACUGGCUAGAGACCUUUCGAGUUUACCCAACAGAUGGCGCAGCGGCGCUCGAACGUAAACUCGACUUUACGAAGAAUCCACGAGUUUUUUUCGCCCGCCGAAGACAAAACAAAACCGAGUCAACCGUAGCAAUCAUCGCGAGGAGUAGAAACCAGUAGGGCGGUAUACAUGUAAGUCACAGACAACGAGGCACGAGCGUGUAAAAUAAAUGGCCCGUGUUUUACAAAUUAUUGUUAUCGAGGAACGUUUCUUACCGUACGGCAACAAAAUUAUUGCCUCUACGUCUCUUUUGAGGUUCUCGUGAUUUCGCAUUUACCGACAGUGCAAGAAUGUCGGAUCGGGCUUCCUGGAAGAAUUACAUUGGAAGCAGAACCGUGACUCUUUUAACCUAACCUCGAAUAACCUAACCCGUCAUAUUUUACGAGUUAAUACCAAUGGAAGAAACGUCACGCAUUUGCAUUUCUACGAAUUGGACGCUACGACGAACUGCUACAGCAAGGGAAUAACGUGCGUGAAAUCGCUGCAGAAAAUGCAAAUGGAUGAAAUUCAUUGGAUAACAGGAAUUGGAUUGCAAGCAUUGCUAACCUGUGCGAAUAGUUAUGUGCCUGUGCAAUGAGCAUGCGCAAUAUAGAAAAAUUGGCAGAGAAAGCUCUAACUCGUCACUGGGGAGGAUCCUAAUCGAAUUCCUUGGUCCGCAGGGAGUGAUAACACAAAAUACAAAGUGUGAAUCAACCGUUACUAUGCAUACGAAAUUAUGUACAGUCAGGUAUGGAGGAUACAUUUUAAAAAAGAUGGCGUCUCGUCGGUCAGUGGGAAAUAAAAAUUACUGACAGAUCUGCAUAUAUAUAUAUAUAUAUAUACAUAUAUGCAUUAUACCGUAUAGUAUAACUCGAGAUCAGUGGGAUGGUUCUGGUCCAGUAGGACGAACAUUCAGGUGGGACUACGCAGACCUGCAGGAUACACUAAAGUUAUCUACUCUAUAAGGUAUAGUCAGCUAUAGCAGUCAGUCGAGGUUGUUCGAGCGUUCAAAAGGGUUAGAUUUCACAGGCUGAUCCAAGGUGGGACGAGCUGAACUGCGAACAGUGCGAACACUGCGGGAGGACGAUUCGCUUGGUUGAGCUAUACUGGAGUUCAAAGAUUGAGGAUUUAGAUAGACUCGCUGUGCUGGAUGAGCUGGCGAGGGAGACGAUGCGUAAUGGGUCUAACCUAAAAAUCGCAAGAGAAUCCAUAAGGCCGCUAAGGGUUAGUUUGUAACGAGAGUUUUGGACAAUCGACUAAAGGUUUGCAUGGCGACGACUAGAUUGAACUUCAUACGGGUCUCUACCAUGGACAAAGCCACGUGGCGCUGAAUGAAAAGCGUUAACAUAAGAAUAAACCGGGCCCACCCUGUAUAUUUAACACCUUCAUUCUUUUUGACAUCCGGAAACCGACGCGCCACUCCCAGAAGUACCCAGUCGAAUUUCCCAUGCGAAUUCGAAGGUUCCUUUGGAAAUAAAAAAACAGUGUGAAUAUCGGUACCAGUUGAUUUUUCAAUGCAUCGAAAUCCUAAAUUCAUUGAAUCGAAUGGACGUGAGUCUUCGUGGUGCAUUGAUUCCAAGACCGUUCACCAGGUGCGACGAUAAAGAGAAAAAUUCAUGAGUAUGUCUUCAUG